RNAcentral lists this ribosomal RNA (491 nucleotides) under uncultured bacterium. Its description in RNAcentral is "bacterial SSU rRNA". It matches the Rfam family "Bacterial small subunit ribosomal RNA", at positions 9 to 489 of the family's 1533-position model. The record is from RNAcentral.
GAGUUUGAUCCUGGCUCAGAUUGAACGCUGGCGGCAGGCCUAACACAUGCAAGUCGAACGGUAACAGGAAGAAGCUUGCUUCUUUGCUGACGAGUGGCGGACGGGUGAGUAAUGUCUGGGAAACUGCCUGAUGGAGGGGGAUAACUACUGGAAACGGUAGCUAAUACCGCAUAACGUCGCAAGACCAAAGAGGGGGACCUUCGGGCCUCUUGCCAUCGGAUGUGCCCAGAUGGGAUUAGCUAGUAGGUGGGGUAACGGCUCACCUAGGCGACGAUCCCUAGCUGGUCUGAGAGGAUGACCAGCCACACUGGAACUGAGACACGGUCCAGACUCCUACGGGAGGCAGCAGUGGGGAAUAUUGCACAAUGGGCGCAAGCCUGAUGCAGCCAUGCCGCGUGUAUGAAGAAGGCCUUCGGGUUGUAAAGUACUUUCAGCGGGGAGGAAGGGAGUAAAGUUAAUACCUUUGCUCAUUGACGUUACCCGCAGAAGAA